This 491-nucleotide ribosomal RNA is filed under the name uncultured bacterium. Its description in RNAcentral is "partial 16S ribosomal RNA". It matches the Rfam family "Bacterial small subunit ribosomal RNA", at positions 29 to 506 of the family's 1533-position model. The record is from RNAcentral.
AGUGAACGCUGGCGGUAGGCCUAACACAUGCAAGUCGAACGGCAGCACAGUAAGAGCUUGCUCUUACGGGUGGCGAGUGGCGGACGGGUGAGGAAUACAUCGGAAUCUACUUUUUCGUGGGGGAUAACGUAGGGAAACUUACGCUAAUACCGCAUACGACCUACGGGUGAAAGCAGGGGAUCUUCGGACCUUGCGCGAUUGAAUGAGCCGAUAUCGGAUUAGCUAGUUGGCGGGGUAAAGGCCCACCAAGGCGACGAUCCGUAGCUGGUCUGAGAGGAUGAUCAGCCACACUGGAACUGAGACACGGUCCAGACUCCUACGGGAGGCAGCAGUGGGGAAUAUUGGACAAUGGGCGCAAGCCUGAUCCAGCCAUACCGCGUGGGUGAAGAAGGCCUUCGGGUUGUAAAGCCCUUUUGUUGGGAAAGAAAAGCAGCAGGUUAAUACCCCGCUGUUCUGACGGUACCCAAAGAAUAAGCACCGGCUAACUUCGU